RNAcentral lists this ribosomal RNA (106 nucleotides) under Mycoplasmopsis agalactiae. The record is from RNAcentral. RNAcentral also lists the same sequence under 1 other name. Lineage: Bacteria; Bacillati; Mycoplasmatota; Mycoplasmoidales; Metamycoplasmataceae.
AUCAGUGGCCAUAGCAAAGGAGAUCACCUGAUACCAUUCCGAACUCAGUAGUUAAGCCCUUUAGCGCCGAAGAUACCAGAGAUGGGAAAAUAGGGAGCUGCUUUUU